UCCAGACUCCUACGGGAGGCAGCAGUGGGGGAUAUUGCACAAUGGGGGGAACCCUGAUGCAGCGACGCCGCGUGGGUGAAGGAGCGUUUCGGCGCGUAAAGCCCUCUCGGCAGGGAAGAAGGAGGACGGUACCUGACUAAGGAGCCCCGGCUAACUACGUGCCAGCAGCCGCGGUAAUACGUAGGGGGCAAGCGUUAUCCGGAUUUACUGGGUGUAAAGGGGGCGCAGACGGCAGCGCAAGCCAGGAGUGAAAGCCCGGGGCCCAACCCCGGGACUGCUCUUGGAACUGCGCGGCUGGAGUGCAGGAGGGGCAGGCGGAAUUCCUGGUGUAGCGGUGAAAUGCGUAGAUAUCAGGAGGAACACCAGUGGCGAAGGCGGCCUGCUGGACUGCAACUGACGUUGAGGCCCGAAAGCGUGGGGAGCAAACAGGAUUAGAUACCCGAGUA
This 446-nucleotide ribosomal RNA is filed under the name uncultured bacterium. RNAcentral's name for it is "bacterial SSU rRNA". It matches the Rfam family "Bacterial small subunit ribosomal RNA", at positions 330 to 792 of the family's 1533-position model. The record is from RNAcentral.